Molecule: ribosomal RNA, 513 nt
Filed under: uncultured bacterium
Lineage: Bacteria
Description: bacterial SSU rRNA
Rfam family: Bacterial small subunit ribosomal RNA
Source: RNAcentral
UAAUACCGAGGGUGCAAGCGUUAUCCGGAUUCACUGGGUUUAAAGGGUGCGUANGCGGGCGGGUAAGUCCGUGGUGAAAUCUCCGAGCUUAACUCGGAAACUGCCAUGGAUACUAUUUGUCUUGAAUACUGUGGAGGUGAGCGGAAUAUGUCNUGUAGCGGUGAAAUGCUUAGAGAUGACAUAGAACACCAAUUGCGAAGGCAGCUCACUGCGCANUUAUUGACGCUGAGGCACGAAAGCGUGGGGAUCUAACAGGAUUAGAUACCCAGGUAGUCCACGCCCUAAACGAUGGAUACUCGACAUACGUUAUAUGACAAUGUGUGUCUGAACCAAAAGCAUUAAGUUUCCCCCCUGGGGAAAUACGAACGCCAAGGUUGAAACUCCAAAGAAUUGGGGGGGGGUCCGCACCAACCGUGGAACAUGUUGUUUAAUUCCGAUGAUACCCCAAGGAAACCUACCUGGGGCUAGAAUGCACUCCUGACCGUGGGGUUUAAAACUCAUUUUGUUACCAUA